This 387-nucleotide unclassified non-coding RNA is filed under the name soil metagenome. RNAcentral's name for it is "partial contains 5.8S ribosomal RNA, internal transcribed spacer 2, and large subunit ribosomal RNA". The stretch from base 1 to 120 matches the Rfam family "5.8S ribosomal RNA", at positions 35 to 154 of the family's 154-position model. The record is from RNAcentral.
GAUGAAGAACGUAGCGAAAUGCGAUAAGUAAUGUGAAUUGCAGAAUUCAGUGAAUCAUCGAAUCUUUGAACGCACCUUGCGCUCCUUGGUAUUCCGAGGAGCAUGCCUGUUUGAGUGUCAUGAAAUUCUCAACCUUUUCAGCUUUCUUUGUUGAUCAGGCUUGGAUGUGGGAGUAUGCGGGCUUCUCAGAAGUCGGCUCUCCUGAAAUGCAUUAGCGGGACCUUUGUUGCCUGGCUUUGGUGUGAUAAUUAUCUACGCCAUUGUAGUCAAGCAGCUUAAAAUGAGGUUUCAGCUUCUAACCGUCUCCCCUGAGACAACUUUUUGACAAUUUGACCUCAAAUCAGGUAGGACUACCCUCUGAACUUAAGCAUAUCAAUAAGCGGAGGA